GAGAAGAACGCAGCGAAAUGCGAUAAGUAGUGUGAAUUGCAGAAUUCAGUGAAUCAUCGAAUCUUUGAACGCACAUUGCGCCCCUUGGUAUUCCAUGGGGCAUGCCUGUUCGAGCGUCAUUUGUACCUUCAAGCUUUGCUUGGUGUUGGGUGUUUGUCCAUUCUCUUGCAGAGGGACUCGCCUUAAAGUAAUUGGCAGCCAGUGUUUUGGUUUUGAAGCGCAGCACAAGUCGCGAUUCAACGCUAUACGCCAGCUUCCACAAGCCUUUUUCACUUUUGACCUCGGAUCAGGUAGGGAUACCCGCUGAACUUAAGCAUAUCAAUAAGCGGAGGA
RNAcentral lists this unclassified non-coding RNA (333 nucleotides) under soil metagenome. Its description in RNAcentral is "partial contains 5.8S ribosomal RNA, internal transcribed spacer 2, and large subunit ribosomal RNA". The stretch from base 3 to 119 matches the Rfam family "5.8S ribosomal RNA", at positions 38 to 154 of the family's 154-position model. The record is from RNAcentral.